GGAUAAUCUGCCCUCAGGUGAGGAAUAAUCCCGGGAAACUGGGGCUAAUGCCUCAUAGGAGACGGGUGCUGGAAUGCUCUGUCUCCGAAAGGUCCGCCGCCUGAGGAUGAGUCUGCGUCCGAUUAGGUUGUUGUUGGGGUAACGGCCCAACAAGCCUUUGAUCGGUACGGGUUGUGGGAGCAAGAGCCCGGAGAUGGAUUCUGAGACAUGAAUCCAGGCCCUACGGGGCGCAGCAGGCGCGAAAACUUUACAAUGCGAGCAAUCGUGAUAAGGAAACCCUGAGUGCCUGUCAAUGCAGGCUGUUCUGGUGUCUAACACACACCAGGAGAAAGGGCGGGGCAAGACCGGUGCCAGCCGCCGCGGUAAUACCGGCUGCUCGAGUGAUAGCCACUUUUACUGGGCUUAAAGCGUUCGUAGCUUGGUCGUUAAGUCUCUGGGGAAAUCUUUUGGCUCAACCAAAAGGCGUCUCAGGGAAACUGACGAUCUUGGAACCGGGAGAGGUAAGACGUACUUCGGGGGUAGGAGUGAAAUCUUGUAAUCCCCGAGGGACGACCGAUGGCGAAGGCAUCUUACCAGAACGGCUUCGACAGUGAGGGACGAAAGCUGGGGGAGCAAACCGGAUUAGAUACCCGGGUAGUCCCAGCCGUAAACGAUGUGCGUUAGGUGUGUCGGUGACCACGAGUCGCUGAGGUGCCGAAGGGAAACCGUGAAACGCACCGCCUGGGAAGUACGGUCGCAAGGCUGAAACU
RNAcentral lists this ribosomal RNA (749 nucleotides) under uncultured Methanocalculus sp. RNAcentral describes it as "bacterial SSU rRNA". It matches the Rfam family "Archaeal small subunit ribosomal RNA", at positions 102 to 856 of the family's 1478-position model. The record is from RNAcentral. Lineage: Archaea; Methanobacteriati; Methanobacteriota; Methanomicrobia; Methanomicrobiales; Methanocalculaceae.